UGGGGAAUAUUGCACAAUGGGGGAAACCCUGAUGCAGCGACGCCGCGUGAGGGAGGAAGUAUUUCGGUAUGUAAACCUCUAUCAGCAGGGAAGAAACCAGACGGUACCUGACUAAGAAGCCCCGGCUAAAUACGUGCCAGCAGCCGCGGUAAUACGUAUGGGGCAAGCGUUAUCCGGAUUUACUGGGUGUAAAGGGUGCGCAGGUGGCAUGGCAAGUCAUAUGUGAAAGACUGGGGCUCAACCCUAGGAUUGCAUAAGAAACUGUCAAGCUAGAGUGCAGGAGAGGCAAGUGGAAUUCCUAGUGUAGCGGUGAAAUGCGUAGAUAUUAGGAGGAACACCGGUGGCGAAGGCGACUUGCUGGACUGUAACUGACACUGAGGCACGAAAGCGUGGGGAGCAAACA
RNAcentral lists this ribosomal RNA (403 nucleotides) under uncultured Eubacteriales bacterium. RNAcentral's name for it is "bacterial SSU rRNA". It matches the Rfam family "Bacterial small subunit ribosomal RNA", at positions 355 to 774 of the family's 1533-position model. Lineage: Bacteria; Bacillati; Bacillota; Clostridia; Eubacteriales. The record is from RNAcentral.